CACGAAAUGACUUGAGCUAAGAAUAAAAUAUAUUAGUAAAAAAGUGUUGCAUAAUGUGGAGAGUUGUUCUUAGGGGUGAAAGGCCUGCCAAAUGUCUUGAUAUCUUGAUUACCUCAAAACUUAUUUAGUAUAAGGCAAAUCUAGAGUGCUAAGAUUUUAGAUUGGAAUAAACUUAUAAAAUUAGUGUUUAUAAAGUGUAAAAGCGCAUAAAUUCUAAUACAUAAUAUUAAUUUAUCAAGGCUAUUUAAACUAGAGGGAGAUAUUAUAAUAAUAAUUUAUAUUUAUAAUGUUAACAUAAGUAAUAAUUAAGGUAUACCAAAUAAACUCGGCUAGAUUUUCUCGACUGUUUAUCAAAAACAUAGUUUAAUGUAUUUAUAUUAAGUGCUUCCUGCUCAAUGAUACACUUAAAUAGCCGCAGUACCUUGACUGUGCAAAGGUAGCAUAAUCAAUUGGCUUAUAAUUGAAGUCUAGAAUGAAAGGAUAUACGGGAAAUUACUGUAUCUGGUAUUUAAGAUAAAAUUGGUUUUCAAGUGAAAAUACUUGUAGAUAAUUGUUAGACGAGAAGACCCUAGAAAUUUGUGUAAAUGUUUAGUUGGGGCAACGUAGUAGGAAUAACCUACAGUAAGGACAGGAAACAGAUUAGGUAGAAGAAAUUACUCUAGGGAUAACAGCAUAAUUUAUAAAAGUUUGUGACCUCGAUGUUGGAUUUGGGAAUUAUAGUUCAGAA
RNAcentral lists this ribosomal RNA (727 nucleotides) under Rhagada kessneri. RNAcentral's name for it is "partial 16S ribosomal RNA". The stretch from base 328 to 494 matches the Rfam family "Archaeal large subunit ribosomal RNA", at positions 1876 to 2091 of the family's 2987-position model. The record is from RNAcentral. Lineage: Eukaryota; Metazoa; Mollusca; Gastropoda; Stylommatophora; Camaenidae.